AUGGAGAUGGUGGAGAAGCUUGCUCUCACCACAAGACCACAUCCACAUCCUUACUACAUCCAAUGGUUCAACAACAGCGGCAAGGUUAAGGUAACAGGUACUGUUCGUGUGCAUUUUAGUAUCUCUACAUAUGCUGAUUAUGUUGAUUGUGAUGUGGUACCUAUGCAAGCAUGUUCCUUAUUACUUGGUAGACCAUGGCAAUUUGAUAAAAAUUCUGUACACCAUGGUAGAAACAAUCACUAUACUCUUGUUCAUAAGGAUAAAAAUAUUACUUUGCUUCCUAUGACUCCUGAUUCCAUUUUGAAAGAUGAUAUUAAUAGAGCUAAUAAAGGACAACAGGAGAAGAAUAAGAGUGAAAAUCAGAUUGUGGCAAAAGAAUUUGAGCAACAAAUGAAGCCUAAUAAUAAACCAUCUAGUGUUGCUUCUGAAAUUAAAUUGAAAAGUGCAUGUUUAUUUGCCACCAAAUCUGAUAUUGAUGAGCUAGAUUUCAGCAAAUCUGUUUGCUAUGCUUUUGUGUGCAAAGAGGCAUUAUUUUCAUUCGAGGACGUGCCUUCCUCUUUGCCUCCUGCUGUCACUAACAUUUUGCAGGAGUUCGCUGACGUUUUUCCACAAGACGUGCCACCGGGAUUACCGCCUAUUCGAGGGAUUGAGCAUCAGAUUGACUUAAUUCCCGGUGCUUCACUGCCAAACCGUGCACCAUACCGUACCAAUCCAGAGGAGACGAAGGAGAUUAUGCGUCAAGUACAAGAGCUUCUCGACAAAGGUUAUAUACGCGAAUCCCUUAGUCCUUGUGCUGUUCCUAUUAUUCUAGUGCCGAAAAAGGAUGGUACAUCACGUAUGUGCGUUGAUUGUAGAGCCAUUAAUAAUAUUACUAUUCGUUAUCGUCAUCCUAUUCCUAGGCUAGAUGAUAUGCUUGAUGAAUUGAGUGGCUCUACAAUAUUCUCCAAAGUUGAUUUGCGUAGUGGCUACCAUCAAAUUCGUAUGAAAUUGGGAGAUGAAUGGAAAACAGCAUUUAAAACUAAGUUUGGAUUAUAUGAGUGGUUAGUCAUGCCUUUUGGGUUAACUAAUGCACCUAGUACUUUCAUGAGAUUAAUGAACGAAGUUUUACGUGCUUUCAUUGGACGAUUUGUGGUAGUUUACUUUGAUGACAUAUUGAUUUAUAGCAGAUCUUUGGAGGAACAUUUGGAACAUUUACGUGCUGUUUUUAUUGCUCUACGUGAUGCACGUUUGUUUGGUAACCUUGGGAAGUGCACCUUUUGCACCGACCGAGUAUCUUUUCUUGGCUAUGUUGUUACUCCACGGGGAAUUGAAGUUGAUAAAGCCAAGAUUGAAGCUAUUGAGAGUUGGCCGCAGCCCAAAACGGUCACACAAGUGAGGAGUUUUCUUGGCCUCGUUGGAUUCUAUAGGCGUUUUGUGAGAGAUUUCAGCACCAUUGCUGCACCUCUCAAUGAGCUUACAAAGAAAGAUGUGCCUUUUCUUUGGGGUACCGCACAGGAAGAAGCCUUCACGGUAUUGAAAGAUAAGUUGACACAUGCUCCUUUACUCCAACUUCCUGAUUUUAAUCAGACUUUUGAGCUUGAAUGUGAUGCUAGUGGAAUUGGAUUAGGAGGUGUGUUAUUACAAGAUGGCAAACCUGUUGCAUACUUUUCCGAAAAAUUGAGUGGGCCUAGUCUGAAUUAUUCUACUUAUGAUAAAGAAUUAUAUGCUCUUGUUCGGACUUUAGAAACAUGGCAACAUUAUUUAUGGCCCAAAGAAUUUGUUAUACAUUCUGAUCAUGAAUCUUUGAAACAUAUUAAAAGUCAAGCUAAACUGAAUCGUAGACAUGCUAAAUGGGUUGAAUUCAUUGAGACUUUCCCUUAUGUCAUUAAACACAAGAAGGGAAAAGAAAAUGUUAUUGCUGAUGCAUUGUCUCGUCGCUAUACUAUGCUUUCACAACUUGACUUCAAAAUAUUUGGUUUGGAGACCAUCAAAGAUCAAUAUGUGCAUGAUGCUGAUUUUAAAGAUGUAAUGCAGAAUUGUAAAGAAGGAAGAAUGUGGAACAAGUUUGUCGUUAACGAUGGAUUUGUGUUUCGUGCUAACAAGCUAUGCAUUCCAGCUAGCUCCGUUCGUCUUUGGUUGUUGCAGGAGGCGCAUGGAGGAGGAUUAAUGGGACACUUUGGCGUGAAGAAGACGGAGGACGUACUUGCUACACAUUUCUUUUGGCCAAAGAUGAGACGGGAUGUUGAGCGUUUUAUUGCUCGAUGCACUACAUGUCAAAAAGCUAAGUCACGACUCAAUCCUCAUGGUUUAUAUAUGCCUUUGCCUGUACCUAGUGUUCCUUGGGAGGAUAUAUCUAUGGACUUUGUUUUAGGUUUACCUCGAACAAAGAAGGGGAGGGAUAGCAUAUUUGUUGUCGUGGAUAGAUUCUCGAAAAUGGCACACUUUAUACCAUGUCAUAAAAGCGAUGAUGCUGUUAAUGUUGCUGAUUUGUUCUAUCGUGAAAUUAAUCGUGAUACUAAAUUUCUUAGCCACUUUUGGAGAUGUUUAUGGGCUAAGUUGGGGACUAAACUGCUUUUUAGUACUACUUGUCACCCCCAAACUGAUGGACAAACUGAAGUAGUCAAUAGAACGUUGUCUACUAUGCUUAGGGCUGUUUUGAAGAAUAAUAAGAAAAUGUGGGAGGAAUGCUUGCCUCAUAUUGAAUUUGCUUAUAAUCGUUCAUUGCAUUCUACUACUAAGAUGUGCCCUUUUGAAGUUGUGUAUUGUUUCCUACCUCGUGCACCUAUUGAUUUGUUGCCUCUUCCAUCUUCGGAGAAGGUUAAUUUUGAUGCUAAACAACGUGCUGAAUUGAUUUUAAAAAUGCAUGAGUUAACUAAGGAAAACAUUGAGCGCAUGAAUGCUAAAUAUAAACUUGCUGGAGAUAAGGGUAGAAAACAUGUUGUGUUUGCACCUGGAGAUCUUGUUUGGUUACAUUUGCGUAAGGAUAGAUUUCCUGAUUUGCGCAAAUCAAAGUUAAUGCCACGUGCUGAUGGUCCCUUUAAGGUGUUAGAGAAAAUAAAUGAUAAUGCAUAUAAACUUGAGCUGACUGCAGAUUUUGGGGUUAGUCCCACUUUUAACAUUGCAGAUUUGAAGCCUUAUUUGGGUGAGGAAGAUGAACUUCCGUCGAGGACGACUUCAUUUCAAGAAGGGGAGGAUGAUGAGGACAUCAAUACAAUUGUUACACCCACAGCCCCUGCUGCUAUACAUACUGGACCAAUUACUAGAGCUCGAAACAGACCUUCGUGGUCAGGUUGA
This 3273-nucleotide ribosomal RNA is filed under the name Triticum aestivum (bread wheat). RNAcentral's name for it is "partial small subunit ribosomal RNA". The record is from RNAcentral. Lineage: Eukaryota; Viridiplantae; Streptophyta; Magnoliopsida; Poales; Poaceae.